UUGCUCUCGGGUGNGAGCGGCGGANGGGUGAGUAUGUCUGGGAAACUGCCUGAUGGAGGGGGAUAACUACUGGAAACGGUAGCUAAUACCGCAUAANGUCGCAAGACCAAAGUGGGGGACCUUCGGGCCUCAUGCCAUCAGAUGUGCCCAGAUGGGAUUAGCUAGUAGGUGGGGUAACGGCUCACCUAGGCGACGAUCCCUAGCUGGUCUGAGAGGAUGACCAGCCACACUGGAACUGAGACACGGUCCAGACUCCUACGGGAGGCAGCAGUGGGGAAUAUUGCACAAUGGGCGCAAGCCUGAUGCAGCCAUGCCGCGUGUGUGAAGAAGGCCUUCGGGUUGUAAAGCACUUUCAGCGGGGAGGAAGGCGNUNAGGUUAAUAACCUUGUCGAUUGACGUUACCCGCAGAAGAAGCACCGGCUAACUCCGUGCCAGCAGCCGCGGUAAUA
Molecule: ribosomal RNA, 449 nt
Filed under: Klebsiella pneumoniae
Lineage: Bacteria; Pseudomonadati; Pseudomonadota; Gammaproteobacteria; Enterobacterales; Enterobacteriaceae
Description: bacterial SSU rRNA
Rfam family: Bacterial small subunit ribosomal RNA
Source: RNAcentral